CAACUUUCAGCAACGGAUCUCUUGGCUCUCGCAUCGAUGAAGAACGCAGCGAAAUGCGAUAAGUAAUGUGAAUUGCAGAAUUCAGUGAAUCAUUGAAUCUUUGAACGCACCUUGCGCUCCUUGGUAUUCCGAGGAGCAUGCCUGUUUGAGUGUCAUG
Molecule: ribosomal RNA, 157 nt
Filed under: Trametes pocas
Lineage: Eukaryota; Fungi; Basidiomycota; Agaricomycetes; Polyporales; Polyporaceae
Also listed under: 1 other name
Description: 5.8S ribosomal RNA
Rfam family: 5.8S ribosomal RNA
About the family: 5.8S ribosomal RNA (5.8S rRNA) is a component of the large subunit of the eukaryotic ribosome. It is transcribed by RNA polymerase I as part of the 45S precursor that also contains 18S and 28S rRNA.
Source: RNAcentral